This is an RNA transcript of Homo sapiens (human), 5886 nucleotides long. It is a transcript of the gene named ITPR interacting domain containing 2, with no coding region annotated. Lineage: Eukaryota; Metazoa; Chordata; Mammalia; Primates; Hominidae. The record is from RefSeq and is marked validated. The transcript is spliced from 18 exons.
AGACGCGCAGCGGCCGGCCUGCUCCGGGCGCGUCAGGCAGGGGGUGGGGAGCAGGGGCCGGGCGGGCGCUCGGCUCCCAGCCGCGCUCCCUCGGGCCACUAGCGCUCCCGCGCGCGCCCGGCCGCCUUCAUGUGAAGCGCCGGCCCUCCGCCCCUUCCCUCCCCUUCCUUCCCUCCCUCCCUCCCUGUCCCCUCCUCCUCCUCCUCCUCCUCCGGCGCCCGCUUCAGCUCCCCGGGGCCCCCUGCCCGGCCGGGCGCUGACAGCAAGGGCGGGGGUCCCUGCCGCCGCCUUGUCUCGCGCAGGGUCCGGCUGGGGUAGCGGAGCCCCCAGUGCGGCCAUGGACCGGCCCCUGUCGUCGUCGGCGGAGGCGGAGGAGGAACUGGAGUGGCAAGUGGCGAGUCGCAGGAGGAAGGCCUGGGCCAAGUGCCGCAGCUCCUGGCAAGCGUCGGAGACGGAGGAUCUGUCCACAGAAGCGACGACGCAGGACGAGGAGGAGGACGAGGAGGAGGACCUCCCCGGCGCGCAGCUGCCGGCAGCGGGGGGAAGAGGAAACGUGCCCAACGAGAAGAUCGCGAUAUGGCUCAAGGACUGCCGUACACCUUUGGGAGCCUCACUGGAUGAACAAAGCAGUAGUACACUCAAGGGUGUGCUUGUGAGAAAUGGAGGAAGUUUUGAAGAUGAUUUGUCAUUGGGAGCUGAAGCCAACCACCUCCAUGAAAGUGAUGCUCAAAUUGAAAACUGCAAUAAUAUCUUGGCCAAAGAGAGAAGAUUACAGUUUCAUCAGAAAGGGAGAAGUAUGAAUUCCACUGGAUCUGGGAAAAGUAGUGGGACAGUUUCAAGUGUUUCAGAAUUGUUGGAACUUUAUGAGGAAGAUCCUGAAGAAAUUCUUUAUAAUCUUGGAUUUGGACGUGAUGAACCAGAUAUUGCUUCUAAAAUUCCUUCCAGAUUUUUUAAUUCAUCAUCCUUUGCCAAAGGGAUAGAUAUUAAAGUAUUUUUGAGUGCUCAGAUGCAACGGAUGGAAGUAGAAAACCCAAAUUAUGCUUUAACAAGCCGUUUUCGUCAAAUUGAAGUGCUUACUACUGUGGCCAAUGCGUUUUCUUCUUUAUAUUCUCAAGUCUCCGGGACGCCCCUGCAGAGAAUUGGAAGUAUGUCCUCAGUGACCUCUAACAAGGAGACAGACCCACCUCCACCUUUAACUCGAAGUAACACUGCAAAUCGUUUAAUGAAAACACUCUCAAAACUGAAUUUAUGUGUUGAUAAAACAGAGAAAGGAGAAAGUAGUAGUCCUUCUCCAUCAGCUGAAAAAGGAAAGAUUCUAAAUGUUUCAGUGAUUGAAGAAAGUGGCAAUAAAAACGAUCAAAAGUCUCAAAAAAUUAUGAAGAAGAAAGAGUCAUCUUCUAUGUUGGCUACAGUUAAAGAAGAAGUCUCUGGUAGUUCAGCAGCUGUUACGGAGAAUGCUGAUAGUGAUAGAAUUUCUGAUGAAGCAAAUAGUAAUUUUAACCAAGGAACUGAAAAUGAACAAAGUAAAGAAACUCAAAGUCAUGAGAGUAAACUGGGUGAGGAAUCUGGUAUUGUAGAAUCCAAAUUAGAUAGUGAUUUCAACAUAUCCAGCCACAGUGAGCUGGAAAAUAGCAGUGAGCUGAAAAGUGUCCAUAUAUCCACACCUGAAAAAGAGCCUUGUGCACCACUGACAAUACCAUCCAUAAGAAAUAUAAUGACACAGCAGAAGGACUCCUUCGAAAUGGAAGAGGUUCAAAGUACGGAGGGAGAAGCUCCUCAUGUUCCAGCCACUUACCAGCUAGGUCUUACGAAGUCGAAAAGAGAUCAUCUGUUACGUACUGCAAGUCAGCAUUCCGAUAGCAGUGGUUUUGCUGAAGAUUCUACAGACUGCCUAUCCCUUAAUCAUCUUCAGGUUCAGGAGUCCUUGCAGGCUAUGGGGAGUAGUGCUGAUAGUUGUGACAGUGAGACAACAGUUACGUCACUUGGUGAAGACCUUGCCACACCAACAGCACAAGACCAGCCUUAUUUUAAUGAAUCAGAGGAGGAGUCUCUUGUCCCUCUUCAGAAGGGACUAGAGAAGGCAGCAGCAGUUGCAGACAAAAGAAAAUCAGGUAGCCAGGAUUUCCCUCAGUGCAACACCAUUGAGAAUACAGGAACUAAACAGUCCACCUGUAGUCCAGGGGAUCAUAUCAUUGAAAUUACUGAAGUGGAAGAGGAUUUGUUUCCAGCAGAGACAGUAGAGCUACUGAGGGAAGCAAGUGCUGAAAGUGAUGUGGGUAAAAGCAGUGAAAGUGAAUUUACUCAGUAUACCACACACCAUAUUCUGAAAUCAUUGGCUUCUAUUGAAGCUAAAUGCAGUGAUAUGAGCUCUGAAAAUACAACUGGGCCUCCCUCUUCCAUGGACAGAGUUAAUACAGCUUUGCAAAGAGCUCAAAUGAAGGUUUGCAGUCUGUCUAAUCAAAGGAUGGGGCGUAGCCUGCUAAAAUCAAAAGAUUUGUUAAAACAAAGGUACUUAUUUGCAAAAGCUGGCUAUCCUCUAAGAAGGUCUCAGUCUUUACCAACCACCUUAUUGAGCCCAGUAAGGGUUGUGUCCUCUGUCAAUGUUCGAUUAUCUCCAGGAAAAGAGACCAGAUGCAGCCCACCUUCCUUCACCUAUAAGUACACACCUGAAGAGGAGCAGGAAUUGGAAAAGCGGGUGAUGGAACAUGAUGGUCAGUCUUUAGUUAAAUCGACCAUUUUCAUCUCUCCAUCAUCUGUGAAGAAAGAAGAAGCCCCCCAGAGUGAGGCGCCGCGGGUGGAGGAAUGCCAUCAUGGAAGGACUCCUACCUGUUCACGGCUUGCUCCACCACCAAUGUCUCAGUCUACCUGUUCCCUUCAUUCCAUCCACUCUGAGUGGCAAGAAAGGCCCCUGUGUGAGCACACAAGAACUCUGAGCACUCACAGUGUUCCCAACAUAUCAGGGGCUACUUGUAGUGCCUUCGCUUCCCCUUUCGGGUGUCCUUACUCACAUAGACAUGCCACCUACCCUUACCGAGUGUGCUCUGUGAAUCCUCCUUCAGCCAUAGAAAUGCAGUUGCGAAGAGUAUUACAUGAUAUUAGAAACUCACUGCAGAAUCUUUCACAGGUAUGAGAAAAAGUAUGUUAUCAUUAGCUUUUUUCUUUUACUGCUCUGAGCACUUUUUAAUUCACAGAGAAGCUAAGGCACAUCAAGUAUGAACUACCUCAGCUUUAUUUUCUGACAUGUCUAAACUUAAUCUGCAUCUGCCUUCGUUUUCUAUCUUCCCUCCUGUUUCAAGGGAGAAGCUGUAACUAACCCUGAUCAAAGUCGAUUUCUCUGCUCACAAGUCUGUCUCCUUUCCAAGAGGAGAGAUUUUUCUCGUUAAGUAUCCUCCCAUUUUUAGUCUAUCAUCCACUGUCUUUGUUUUAGUCUAGAAUCUUUUGUCAUUUCUAUUAUUAAAAAAUCUUCCCUCUUAAAGUUCUUUCUCUCUUUCUCUCUGCUAUUUGAACAUGUUGACUACCUUUUCCUUUUCCAAGUUUUCUCCCUGUUGGCUUCUGUGGCACCACGUUCUCCUGGUUCUGCUCGUAGCUCUCUGACUAAGCUUUCCCCUUCACCUACUGACCCUCGAUGCUGUGCACAGAGUUAGUCUACUUCCACUGGACUCAAAGACUGGAACUACUCCAGACCAGAAAAUAACAAAUCAGUACCCUAUGAUGAGAGGACCUGAUCCUGCUGCUGCUCCAUAUAGUACUCAGAAAUCAUCUGUUCUACCUCUUUAUGAAAAUACUUUUCAGGAGCUCCAGGUAAUGAGGCGGAGCCUGAAUUUGUUUAGAACACAAAUGAUGGAUUUAGAAUUGGCAAUGCUGCGUCAGCAAACCAUGGUUUAUCAUCAUAUGACUGAGGAGGAGAGGUUUGAAGUUGAUCAGCUCCAGGGUUUGAGAAAUUCAGUCCGAAUGGAACUUCAGGACCUGGAACUGCAGCUGGAGGAGCGCCUGCUGGGCCUGGAGGAGCAGCUUCGUGCUGUGCGCAUGCCUUCACCCUUCCGCUCCUCCGCACUCAUGGGAAUGUGUGGCAGUAGAAGCGCUGAUAACUUGUCAUGCCCUUCUCCAUUGAAUGUAAUGGAACCAGUCACUGAACUGAUGCAGGAGCAGUCAUACCUGAAGUCUGAAUUGGGCCUGGGACUUGGAGAAAUGGGAUUUGAAAUUCCUCCUGGAGAAAGCUCAGAAUCUGUUUUUUCCCAAGCAACAUCAGAAUCAUCUUCUGUAUGUUCUGGUCCCUCUCAUGCUAACAGAAGAACUGGAGUACCUUCUACUGCCUCAGUGGGCAAAUCCAAAACCCCAUUAGUGGCAAGGAAGAAAGUGUUCCGAGCAUCGGUGGCUCUAACGCCAACAGCUCCUUCUAGAACAGGCUCUGUGCAGACACCUCCAGAUUUGGAAAGUUCUGAGGAAGUUGAUGCAGCUGAAGGAGCCCCAGAAGUUGUAGGACCUAAAUCUGAAGUGGAAGAAGGGCAUGGAAAACUCCCAUCAAUGCCAGCUGCUGAGGAAAUGCAUAAAAAUGUGGAGCAAGAUGAGUUGCAGCAAGUCAUACGGGAGAUUAAAGAGUCUAUUGUUGGGGAAAUCAGACGGGAAAUUGUAAGUGGACUUUUGGCAGCAGUAUCUUCAAGUAAAGCGUCUAAUUCUAAGCAAGAUUAUCAUUAAACAGAAAUUAUAGGUUGGCAUGGAUCCUAUUAGCUGUGUAAUACUGGAAUUAUCAAUGAUAUGCACUGGUGGAGGUGUUAUUUGUGCUUUAGAAGAUACUUGCUGUUGAGCUGGGCUACUGUAUACAGUGUACAAUGUGUAUUUCUUCAACCAUAUAUUUUAAAAAGACGUACAUAGAAACUUAGGCACUUUGCUAUUUCUUUUCUAAACUAUCAAAAACUCUAGCAGUUUGAAAAGCCUAAUAUUUAUUUGUAUGUCAGUAUUUUUCAUUUGAUUCCCUAUUAGAAUUAAUUUUAAAACUUGAAGACUUCCAGACUUAUCCAACUUAUAAAUAACAUAUUUCUUCAGACUAACAUCUUAAAACACUGACCUCUAUGAGGUAUUUACUGUGCAAUAACUGAUUCAUUUUUUUCAGAGCUUGAAGCAUCCAAUGAUUUUUCCCUCCACUGCUGUUAAUUAAUGUCACUUCCAAGAAGAAAAACUGUUCUGUUGUAAAAAAUAUAAUUGCUCUUAAUUCUUGGGGAGGUUACUAAUAGCAGUAGGAUAGAAUUUUAUGAGGUUACCUACAACUACUUAAUGUACUUACACUGUAAGCCUUGUUGCUUUACCCAAGACAAAUGUAAUUUUAUCAUUGCUUAUGUAGUAUUUUUCUUUUGGAAAUGUGCCUUAUGUUAAACACUAUGUACUUUUACUUUUUGCAUUGUCCAGACUUCUUUAUUAGAUGGAGAUGUUUCUUUUUCUGUCUUCUAGACUAAAUAGAGUAUCAUCCAAAUAAUGGGGCCUAUGACUUGAAUGAAUAGAAAUGAAUAAGCUGGUGUUUGUUUUUUCAAAAUGGAAGUAAUUUAGAUUUGUUCUCCUCAUACAUAAAAUGAUUUUAGUUCAGUUUUAACCAGUGAAAACUUUGUUUUUAUGAAAAAAAAGGAAAAUGGUUUCCCAUUUGGUUUUAUAUGUGUUAAAUAAAUGUGUAAAGUAACCACCAAAUGUUAUUAGAAUUUUUCUUCUAGCAUUUAUAAUUUUUUCAACUCCUAUUGUGUUUCUUUGUGUGUGAUAUUUUAAUCAAAAGUGGUUGAGUUGUUAACAGUGUUCUUUGAAAGAAUCUCUAAAAGGCUUAUAAAUGUUUGAAAUAUCACACAAAGGCUGAUUUCUAAAAUAUAUAUAUAUUAAAACAAUAAAGUAUUUAUUUUGCCUAAA